RNAcentral lists this ribosomal RNA (253 nucleotides) under uncultured bacterium. RNAcentral's name for it is "partial 16S ribosomal RNA". It matches the Rfam family "Bacterial small subunit ribosomal RNA", at positions 524 to 776 of the family's 1533-position model. The record is from RNAcentral.
UACGUAGGUGGCGAGCGUUGUCCGGAUUUACUGGGCGUAAAGAGCUCGUAGGCGGUCUGUUGCGUCCGCUGUGAAAACUCGGGGCUUAACCCCGAGCCUGCAGUGGAUACGGGCAGACUAGAGGUAGGUAGGGGAGAAUGGAAUUCCCGGUGUAGCAGUGAAAUGCGUAGAGAUCAUGAGGAAGACCAGUGGCGAAGGCGGGUCUCUGGACAGUUCCUGACACUGAGACACGAAGGCCAGGGGAGCAAACGGG